UGAUAAUCGCAUAAAAUAUACUAACUAAAUUUGUAGAGUUAAGCAAUGCAUUCAGAUUUUUAAAGUCAAAUUACCAUUGACUGACUCAAAUCUAAUAUAUAGAAAAAUUGGAUAAUAAAAAUAAAAUUUUGAAAGAUUGGAUUUACACUUUUCGUCCUUAGAAUUAUCAGACGAGUGACACUUUAAUCCUCGAACUUUAAUGUGUUAUGAUUUAAACUACGAAGCAUGUGACACUUUCGUCCUCAAACUUUAAUUAGUUGCAAUUUCUGACUUGAAAUAUGAGGUAUAUCAUUUUAGUUUUCAACGUUUAUUGCUGCUAUAAAUAUUAUUUAUUAU
Molecule: long non-coding RNA, 336 nt
Filed under: Ananas comosus (pineapple)
Lineage: Eukaryota; Viridiplantae; Streptophyta; Magnoliopsida; Poales; Bromeliaceae
Description: long non-coding RNA (ACOM_LNC029501)
Source: RNAcentral